This 118-nucleotide ribosomal RNA is filed under the name Pteropus alecto (black flying fox). Lineage: Eukaryota; Metazoa; Chordata; Mammalia; Chiroptera; Pteropodidae. The record is from RNAcentral. RNAcentral also lists the same sequence under 1 other name.
GUCUACGGCCAUGCCACCCUGAACACGCCUGAUCUCGUCUGAUCUUGGAAGCUAAGCAGGGUCAGGUCUGGUUGUACUUGGAUGGGAAACCACCUAGGAAUACAAGGUGCCGUAGGCU